Ribosomal RNA from Oncorhynchus tshawytscha (Chinook salmon), 129 nucleotides. The record is from Ensembl. Lineage: Eukaryota; Metazoa; Chordata; Actinopteri; Salmoniformes; Salmonidae.
GCUUACGACCACACCGGCCUGAGUACGCCUGAGUACGCCUGAUCUCGUCUGAUCUCGGAAGCUAAGCAGGGUCGGGCCUGGUUAGUACUUGGAUGGGAGACUUCCUGGGAAUACCAGGUGCUGUAAGCU